GAUGAACGCUGGCGGCGUGCCCAAUACAUGCAAGUCGAGCGAACGGACGAGAAGCUUGCUUCUCUGAUGUUAGCGGCGGACGGGUGAGUAACACGUGGAUAACCUACCUAUAAGACUGGGAUAACUUCGGGAAACCGUAGCUAAUACCGGAUAAUAUUUUGAACCGCAUGGUUCAAAAGUUAAAUACGGUCUUUCUUUCACUUAUAGAUGGAUCCGCGCUGCAUUAGCUAGUUGGUAAGGUAACGGCUUACCAAGGCAACGAUGCAUAGCCGACCUGAGAGGGGGAUCGGCGAGACGGGAACUGAGACACGGUCAAGACUACUACGGGAGGAAGCAGUAGGGAAUCUUCCGAAAUGGGCGAAAGCAUGACGGAGCAGCGCCGCGUGAGUGAUGAAGGUAUUCGGAUCGUAAAACUCUGUUAUUAGGGAAGAAAAAAUGUGUAAGUAACUGUGCACAUAUUGACGGUACCUAAUCAGAAAGCCACGGCUAACUACGUG
This 497-nucleotide ribosomal RNA is filed under the name uncultured bacterium. Its description in RNAcentral is "partial 16S ribosomal RNA". It matches the Rfam family "Bacterial small subunit ribosomal RNA", at positions 28 to 507 of the family's 1533-position model. The record is from RNAcentral.